Long non-coding RNA from Diorhabda carinulata, 248 nucleotides. RefSeq lists it as uncharacterized. The record is from RefSeq and is a predicted model, not a curated record. Lineage: Eukaryota; Metazoa; Arthropoda; Insecta; Coleoptera; Chrysomelidae. The transcript has 2 exons.
CCAUCGUUCUACACGAGAAAUUUCUACGUUUCGUUCACAUUAAUAGAAAAAUAAGCAAGAAGCCAACAAAGGAUACCCUAGACUGUUACAUAUUUAGACCACGAUAUAUUAUGUCCAUGAAAAUUGUAAAAUUUUAAUAUUGAAAACAUUCUAACCGCAAUAUAUUUACUACUUUUUACCGUUUUAACCAUUGAUUUAUAUAAAUGUAUGGCAAAUUUCAAUAAACGCCAUAUAGAAUCAAACACAAA